AUUGAACGCUGGCGGCAGGCCUAACACAUGCAAGUCGAGCGAGCGGCGGACGGGUGAGUAAUGUAUGGGAAUCUGCCCGAUGGAGGGGGAUAACUACUGGAAACGGUAGCUAAUACCGCAUACUAUCAGAUGAACCCAGAUGGGAUUAGCUAGUAGGUGGGGUAAAGGCUCACCUAGGCGACGAUCCCUAGCUGGUCUGAGAGGAUGAUCAGCCACACUGGGACUGAGACACGGUCCAGACUCCUACGGGAGGCAGCAGUGGGGAAUAUUGCACAAUGGGCGCAAGCCUGAUGCAGCCAUGCCGCGUGUAUGAAGAAGGCCUUCGGGUUGUAAAGCACUUUCAGCGAGGAGGCGUUACCCGCAGAAGAAGCACCGGCUAACUCCGUGCCAGCAGCCGCGGUAAUAC
Molecule: ribosomal RNA, 406 nt
Filed under: uncultured bacterium
Lineage: Bacteria
Description: partial 16S ribosomal RNA
Rfam family: Bacterial small subunit ribosomal RNA
Source: RNAcentral